RNAcentral lists this ribosomal RNA (253 nucleotides) under uncultured bacterium. RNAcentral's name for it is "partial 16S ribosomal RNA". It matches the Rfam family "Bacterial small subunit ribosomal RNA", at positions 524 to 776 of the family's 1533-position model. The record is from RNAcentral.
UACGUAGGGUGCGAGCGUUAAUCGGAAUUACUGGGCGUAAAGCGUGCGCAGGCGGUUUUUUAAGACAGGCGUGAAAUCCCCGGGCUUAACCUGGGAACGGCGCUUGUGACUGGAAGGCUAGAGUAUGGCAGAGGGGGGUGGAAUUCCACGUGUAGCAGUGAAAUGCGUAGAGAUGUGGAGGAACACCAAUGGCGAAGGCAGCCCCCUGGGCCAAUACUGACGCUCAUGCACGAAAGCGUGGGGAGCAAACAGG